Long non-coding RNA from Fukomys damarensis (Damara mole-rat), 767 nucleotides. RefSeq lists it as uncharacterized. The record is from RefSeq and is a predicted model, not a curated record. The transcript has 3 exons. NCBI's taxonomy places the organism in Eukaryota, Metazoa, Chordata, Mammalia, Rodentia, Bathyergidae.
GGGCAUCUACGUGGGAACCUGAUGAGCUGAGGACCGCGCCCAGCCAGGCGAAGGCACAGGCAGUGCCACGGACCAGGAACACGGGGACAGCGCCUACUCUCCCAAAGGGCAGUGUACACAGAGCCUUCUGAUCGUACUGUACUACUGGGAACUAGAUGAUAGAUGCAAGAGUACAGGGCAGCUAGGCUCUGUGCUGUUGGAACGGGAUGAGCUAUGCUAUUGGAAGCUUACGGUCCAGCAGGGGUCUGAGGCGUUGAAACAGCGUUAAGAGGACCCUGAAGCGACUCCCUGACUAGCAUUUCUCAGCUGGUUCUCUGGACAGAAGCGACGACGUAUUUACAAGGAGACCCCACGUGUCUCAGGAGUUGGACAAACAGGAAGCAGGGGAGAAGAGCAGGUGCACAGAUCGGAGCGGACCAGAACGAAGACGAGACAGAAGGGGCUGCUUGUCAUUAUUGCGUGGGUCUCGAGUGUCACCAAGGCCCGCAUGUGGGUGGCUCGGAGAGGAUGGCACUUCUGAGCGACAGUGGAGCCUUCCAGCCAGGGUCUGCCCCGGAAGGACAUCGUGCAUGGAGCCCCAGCCCUUCCUCUCCCAUCCGCUUCCUGGCCUUGGUGAGGGUUCAGUCUGUCCCAAUAUUGCAGAUAAGAAAAUUAAUUAGGUAUCUUGUAGGCAGUUAGACAAGGCCAGCCCAAGAGCAGCCAACACGAAAGACAAGCGACACACAUUCACUGAAGACCAGCGUUGUAGAAGAAGAGACACUACCACA